CAUGUAUUUGAUUAUGAAGUGCAUUGACUCGUUGUGUGCUGUUUCCUCUUCCUUUUGGCAGCCUGGCCUCACUCUAAGUCCAAGGAGAUGGAAGCUGCUUCACAAUGAAGAAGGUGUC
RNAcentral lists this small nucleolar RNA (118 nucleotides) under Oryza sativa Indica Group (long-grained rice). RNAcentral describes it as "box C/D snoRNA". Lineage: Eukaryota; Viridiplantae; Streptophyta; Magnoliopsida; Poales; Poaceae. The record is from RNAcentral.